This 253-nucleotide unclassified non-coding RNA is filed under the name uncultured Alphaproteobacteria bacterium. Its description in RNAcentral is "contains 16S-23S intergenic spacer region". It matches the Rfam family "Bacterial small subunit ribosomal RNA", at positions 524 to 776 of the family's 1533-position model. The record is from RNAcentral. Lineage: Bacteria; Pseudomonadati; Pseudomonadota; Alphaproteobacteria.
UACGAAGGGGGCUAGCGUUGUUCGGAAUUACUGGGCGUAAAGAGCGCGUAGGCGGAACGGGCAGUCAGGGGUGAAAUCCCGGGGCUCAACCUCGGAACUGCCUUUGAUACUCUCGUUCUAGAGACCGUGAGAGGAUAGUGGAAUACCCAGUGUAGAGGUGAAAUUCGUAGAUAUUGGGUAGAACACCAGUGGCGAAGGCGACUAUCUGGCGCGGGUCUGACGCUGAGGCGCGAAAGCGUGGGGAGCAAACAGG